ACUCCUACGGGAGGCAGCAGCCGCGGUAAUGCGCGAAAGCGUGACGCAGCGACGCCGCGUGGGGGAUGAAGGCCCUCGGGUUGUAAACCCCUUUCGCCAGGGACGAAGCGGAGGUGACGGUACCUGGAGAAGAAGUCCCGGCUAACUACGUGCCAGCAGCCGCGGUAAUA
RNAcentral lists this ribosomal RNA (170 nucleotides) under uncultured bacterium. RNAcentral's name for it is "partial 16S ribosomal RNA". It matches the Rfam family "Bacterial small subunit ribosomal RNA", at positions 335 to 525 of the family's 1533-position model. The record is from RNAcentral.